RNAcentral lists this ribosomal RNA (491 nucleotides) under uncultured bacterium. Its description in RNAcentral is "partial 16S ribosomal RNA". It matches the Rfam family "Bacterial small subunit ribosomal RNA", at positions 29 to 507 of the family's 1533-position model. The record is from RNAcentral.
GUGCACGCUGGCGGUAGGCCUAACACAUGCAAGUCGAACGGCAGCACAGUAAGAGCUUGCUCUUACGGGUGGCGAGUGGCGGACGGGUGAGGAAUACAUCGGAAUCUACUUUUUCGUGGGGGAUAACGUAGGGAAACUUACGCUAAUACCGCAUACGACCUACGGGUGAAAGCAGGGGAUCUUCGGACCUUGCGCGAUUGAAUGAGUCGAUGUCGGAUUAGCUAGUUGGCGGGGUAAAGGCCCACCAAGGCGACGAUCCGUAGCUGGUCUGAGAGGAUGAUCAGCCACACUGGAACUGAGACACGGUCCAGACUCCUACGGGAGGCAGCAGUGGGGAAUAUUGGACAAUGGGCGCAAGCCUGAUCCAGCCAUACCGCGUGGGUGAAGAAGGCCUUCGGGUUGUAAAGCCCUUUUGUUGGGAAAGAAAAGCAGCAGGUUAAUACCCCGCUGUUCUGACGGUACCCAAAGAAUAAGCACCGGCUAACUUCGUG